Ribosomal RNA from Nomascus leucogenys (northern white-cheeked gibbon), 121 nucleotides. Lineage: Eukaryota; Metazoa; Chordata; Mammalia; Primates; Hylobatidae. The record is from Ensembl.
GACUAUUCCUAUACCACCCUGAACGUGCCUAGUCUCUUCUGAUCUUGGAAGCUAAGCAGGGUCAGGCCUGGUGAGUAUUUGGAUGCAAGAAUUAAAUGAGUUAACUCAUGCGCAAAAAGCU